This 233-nucleotide ribosomal RNA is filed under the name uncultured Lactobacillus sp. RNAcentral describes it as "partial 16S ribosomal RNA". It matches the Rfam family "Bacterial small subunit ribosomal RNA", at positions 129 to 355 of the family's 1533-position model. Lineage: Bacteria; Bacillati; Bacillota; Bacilli; Lactobacillales; Lactobacillaceae. The record is from RNAcentral.
CCCAAGAGAUCGGGAUAACACCUGGAAACAGAUGCUAAUACCGGAUAACAACAGAUGAUGCCUAUCAACUGUUUAAAAGAUGGUUCUGCUAUCACUCUUGGAUGGACCUGCUGUGCAUUAGCUAGUUGGUAGGGUAACGGCCUACCAAGGCGAUGAUGCAUAGCCGAGUUGAGAGACUGAUCGGCCACAUUGGGACUGAGACACGGCCCAAACUCCUACGGGAGGCAGCAGCA